RNAcentral lists this unclassified non-coding RNA (315 nucleotides) under plant metagenome. Its description in RNAcentral is "partial contains 5.8S ribosomal RNA, internal transcribed spacer 2, and large subunit ribosomal RNA". The stretch from base 1 to 105 matches the Rfam family "5.8S ribosomal RNA", at positions 50 to 154 of the family's 154-position model. The record is from RNAcentral.
GAACUGCGAUAAGUAAUGUGAAUUGCAGAAUUCAGUGAAUCAUCGAGUCUUUGAACGCACAUUGCGCCCCCUGGCAUUCCGGGGGGCAUGCCUGUCCGAGCGUCAUUGCUGCCCUUCAAGCCCGGCUUGUGUGUUGGGUCGUCGUCCCCUCCGGGGGACGGGCCCGAAAGGCAGCGGCGGCACCGCGUCCGGUCCUCGAGCGUAUGGGGCUUUGUCACCCGCUCGAUAAGGACCGGCCGGGCGCCAGCCGGCGUCUCCAACCUUUUUUUCUCAGGUUGACCUAGGAUCAGGUAGGGAUACCCGCUGAACUUAAGC